Molecule: ribosomal RNA, 591 nt
Filed under: Triticum aestivum (bread wheat)
Lineage: Eukaryota; Viridiplantae; Streptophyta; Magnoliopsida; Poales; Poaceae
Description: partial small subunit ribosomal RNA
Source: RNAcentral
AUGGACAAACGGCUCCUGCAAGCAGCCAUUUCUGGUAAUUCCACAUCAAUGAAGGAGAUGGCUUCAGAUGAUCCAAGCAUUCUUCUUGGAACAACUCCAGCUGGGAACACUUGUCUUCACAUAUCAUCCAUCCAUGGCCACCAGGUAUUUUGCACGGAUGUGGUGGCCCUAGAGGAGUCUCUCCUCGUCGCCGUAAACUUGGAUGGGGAGACGCCACUUCUUGUCACGGUGAAAAGUGGCUACAUCUCCCUGGCUUCUGUUCUACUCAGAUGCUACCACGCACAACGAUUGAGAGAGGCAAUGUUGAAGCAAGACAUUGAUGGCUGCAACGCGCUCCACCAUGCCAUUCGUAGCGGCCACAAGGAGCUCGCGCUGAAGCUGAUAGAAGCAGCGCCGGAUCUGUCGACACAUGUGAACAAAUUGAAGGAGUCACCCAUGUUCGCCGCGGCCAUGAGAGAUUUUUAUUGUGUGAACAUUAUAAUUAUUUUUGUUUUGGUUGAUGUCGUUCUGUGGCAUCAAUCCGGGCCUGUUCUUUACUGUGAGAAUAUUAUAACUAAUUUUGUUUUGCUUGAUUUCAUCCUAUCGCAUUAA